RNAcentral lists this ribosomal RNA (497 nucleotides) under uncultured bacterium. RNAcentral's name for it is "partial 16S ribosomal RNA". It matches the Rfam family "Bacterial small subunit ribosomal RNA", at positions 28 to 507 of the family's 1533-position model. The record is from RNAcentral.
GAUGAACGCUGGCGGCGUGCCUAAUACAUGCAAGUCGAGCGAACAGACGAGGAGCUUGCUCCUCUGACGUUAGCGGCGGAAGGGUGAGUAACACGUGGAUAACCUACCUAUAAGACUGGGAUAACUUCGGGAAACCGGAGCUAAUACCGGAUAAUAUAUUGAACCGCAUGGUUCAAUAGUGAAAGACGGUUUUGCUGUCACUUAUAGAUGGAUCCACGCCGCAUUAGCUAGUUGGUAAGGUAACGGCUUACCAAGGCAACGGUGCGUAGCCGACCGGAGAGUGUGAUCGGCCGCGGUGGGACUGGAACACGUUCCAAGCGCCUACGGGAAGCAGCAGAAGGGAAUCUUCCGCAAUAGGCGAAAGCCUGACGGAGCAAGUCCGCGUAGGUGAUGAAGGUCUUCGGAUCGUAAAACUCUGUUAUUAGGGAAGAACAAAUGUGUAAGUAACUAUGCACGUCUUGACGGUACCUAAUCAGAAAGCCACGGCUAACUACGUG